This 292-nucleotide RNase P RNA is filed under the name Candidatus Woesearchaeota archaeon. RNAcentral describes it as "RNase P RNA component". It matches the Rfam family "Archaeal RNase P". From Rfam's summary of the family: Ribonuclease P (RNase P) is a ubiquitous endoribonuclease, found in archaea, bacteria and eukarya as well as chloroplasts and mitochondria. The record is from RNAcentral. Lineage: Archaea; Nanobdellati; Candidatus Woesearchaeota.
GUAGAAAAGCGCUUGAUAUCCGCAAUUUUGUGAGGAAAGUCCGUCCACCAUAAAAAGGCCACUUCCGUAAGGGAGGCCUAUAAGCGGCGGCAACCGCUCAGAAACGAAACCGUCUUGGUUAAGGGUGAUACGAGCGAAUGCUUCUGAGAAGAAGCAGAGCUAACCCGUUGACGUUUCCAAGACAAGGAUGAAACGGCGAGUCCUGGUCGGUGCAACUUAAGAAAGGCUUAGUAGAAUAUCAAACAGACCGUCCCCAUAGGGGUCUGACAAAAGACGGCUUAUGCUUUUCUAC